CACGAUAUUCUUUGACUCUUACUCGUAGCUACAAAAUUCCAUGAGGCAGCAGUUGACUUAGCAGUGUGGUGUUGGAAGUGCAGAUUUUUAAAUUGUCGGUAGUUUUCAUUGUACUAAAACGUGGCAACUGUGACAAAUUACUGAUGUAGUGAUUGUGUAUAUUUAUUGUCGUAGUUUAUUUUAUUACGAACGCUAUUAAUGUCAGUUGAGAAUUUGGGUAACUAAAUCGUGUUUGCGCAGUCGCAUACUGCCAUAAAUUCCCUUUGUCUUCAUUUGUGGCGUAUAAGAUACCAGGGGCUUGCAAUAUGCGUUAUGGCAACACAAUAUAAAACAUUUUCACUUAAAAGGUUAUUUAUGCUAGUGAAUAUUGAGCCAGGGUUAGAAAACGAUGAUAUACACAUAACAUUCUUGAACAGUCGGCACAGUGAAGACGCGUUGGAAUACAGCUUUGAUGUGUAAACUCAGUGACAUACAUAGUGCGUUCAGAGACAUCAAUGAGAACGAUAUACGGUUUGGUAGCUGUUGUUGCCUGGUAGUGGGAACGAAUAGUUUAAAUAAAUUUUACAUUAAUCGUUUUCAACAACGGACAUAAUCAUCUCUAUACCGAACAUUUUCACAGAGACUUGAAUGUAGGAUGGUUAUCCUGUUUGUGUAAUUUACUUUUCGAAACAACUUUGUCUUGGAGCCAUUCUUCUAUUGUGAUUUUCCGAGCAGUGGAGACCACGUUAAAAAGAUGAAAAAAAGUAGUAUAAUAAUGGAGAAUAUUAUAAGUUUCUAAAAAUAGAGAACAGCCAAAGGAAAGAAGAAACUUAUGUUCACCUUUCUGGUCUUGAAAUAUGCCACCAGCAGCACGAAACACAGGGUGAUCAUGAGUAUAUGCAGUGUGGCACAAGCUUUUAUAUGGCUCUGGAGAUAAUCAUCGACAAAGGCUACAGCAAUAUGUUCAAUGUUGAGUGGCCUGGCACAUAACAUAAUUGUCUUCAGUUUCGGCACACACAUUAAGCAAUUCGAGGGGAGUGUAGCCAAUUCUCCUACGAAUUUCUGGCAAAGUGGAUGACAGUGUUGGCACAUUCACAGCAUCCUUGAUGUACCCACAAAAGAAAUCUUGAAGGGGAGGAAGGUCAUGCACACAAGGUGGCCAAGUCAUAGCUCCACCCUUGACAAUAAAUGUCUCUGGAAACUUGCAGUUAAGACAUCUCUCACUUCCUUCUGAAAAUGUGGAAGCGUUCUGUCUUGCUGAAACAGCAUGUCAACAGGACACUCUUCUAAAAUAGGAAGUGAAUUGUUGGAGUGUCGGCAUUACAGCAUUUGAAAUGAUGAUCAGGCACAAACCCUUUCAGUAUGAUGGAACUGGAAUUGAUGCAGCACUCUAUUGGGAAUAAACUGGGAUUAAGUGCAUAGAAGACAACUGAUGGUGCCACAUCCGGUAGUUUUCGAGUGUGAGGAGCUCAAUUCCAUUGAAGGACAUUUUGGAUUGAACGAGGUUACAUUUGUGUGGCAACAACAAUGAGGUCAGAAAAAGUUCUUUUUCUUGUGUUUUAAUAUGUGGCGCAUAGCAACAGGGUUUAUUUCUAGUGCAAGGUGUUGUAAGCUGAGGGCAGUAAUACUUUGAAGGUCUUAAUGUAAUUAAGAUUGUUGUGGUUGUCCUUAUGCCUCAGUUGGGAUUUUUUUCACUGUAACUGAGAUAAUGCAAACAGUGGGAUUAAAUAUUCAUACUGCCAUUACUCAAGAUGAGAGUUGUCAGCCUUUGGAAACGUGUGUUAUGACUAGGAAACAGCCAACCUGGUCUGAAAUAAUGGAAUUGCUUACUUGUUACUGAAAACACCCAUAAUCUGCACUCAAUGAAAAAUUAUUAGGCGCUGUUUUAAAGAAACAGAGUAUAACUUACACAUCUGGCGCAACUAUAAGAAUGAUUUUUAUGCAUCAAAGCAGUGAAAAAUGUUUGUUUACAUGAUAUGGGUCUGAAAAAGUCUCUGUUUUUGAGCUACAGUAGUCUUUUCAUUUCCGGAAUUUUUUCCUGGUUUUGAAAAUUUUAUAGCAAGUGCUCGGAUGUCCUCUGUGACUUUCUAUUUGUCUGCGUAGACUGUAUAUUAUAGCCAAAGAUGUAGGAAAUUUAAUUUACUUAAAGAAGAUUGACACAAUGCAUAUAUCACAUAAUAUUGUAAAUGCCAAACUUAUUUAAGCAACUGUUACCUUAGCAUGGAUUUUAUAGGACAACCUCUGAAUGAUGAUUGUUGUUUAUCACCAUAUUUGGCAAUAGACUUCAUCAUUGAAGAUUUCUGUCUUCUGGGUUGUUUUGCUGUGUAGUAUGGUAGAUGUUUACUAACGUUCCAGAGGUCGUACUGCCUCUUGUCAUCAGGGCGAUUGGGUGGAUGGGGCUAGGUUUAUAGGAGCCGGACCGUGAAUGGAGUAGCCUGCCCCAGCCAAUGGGAGCAGGUGUCAAAUCAGGCAUGGGUGGGGACCCAUAGGAGCGCAUGGGCGUGUGUGAGAGGGAGAGAGAGAGAGAGAGAGAGGUUGAAGUACAGCCCUUGUGAGGGUCCUGGGAUGUGCGUCUGGUGGGACAUCAGGAGUUGGGUGGAUUGUGAUCAGGGCCCUGAAAAGGGGCCAGGUUAGUGGUCUGGGUGGGGCAGGUGGUGUCUCUCGAAUGCUUUCGGAGCCCUCGAAGAGUGUGAAUGAGGGGCUUCCAUGACUGGCUCAGGUGAAGUCCAUCUUCCCUGUUGAAGUUAUUGGGAUAUAAUUCAAUCUCGAUGACUUCCCUGAUUAUCCGAUCCAUGUAGCUGUUUUUUUGUCGAGAGGAUAGAAGUAUCCCUGAGCUGUAUGUAGUGUCCCAGGUUGAAGCAAUGUUCAGCAACUGCAGAUUUCUCAGGUUUUUAUUCUGAAAGGUCUUGUCGAAUACUCUUUCUGUGUCUAAGAACAAUGCCACCGUAUCUCUGUUAUAGUUGAAACCGUGAAAAAUUGAUUCUAUAUUUCUUAUCAAGGUGAUUGUUGUUGAAUGUCCUUACUAAAGCCAUAUUGGUCAUUUCUGAUAACGUGGAACUCCUUAAGUUGCAAAUGUAGCCUAUGUGAUUUUCUCAAAAACUUUAUCUACAGAAAUUAAUAAACUUAUUGGCCUGUAAUUCAGUGGGGAGGCGUGACUUUUUUUUUCGGUUUCUGGAGCAUAAUAACUUCAAACUCUUUUCACUAGGUAGGGAAAUAAUUUAAUGCAACUGACUUGUAAUAAAUCUGAGGACUGGCCAUGGUAGGUGUUCCGUGUUCUAUGUUCUGAAUCCCAUCAGGGUCAGGAGCCUUGCGUGGUUUGAGGUGGUGGAUAAUCUGUUCAAUUUCAGAUUGAUUUGUAGGCCUUACCGAGGCCUGCUGAAGUUGGUUUAGACACUCAGUUACUGCCUGCUCUGUGCUGUCGGUAAAGUUUGUGUCUACGUCUCGGUUUGUUCGGAAUAUUUUUAUUAAGGUAUCCGCAAACAUAUUCACCUUUUCUUGAUUUCUUAAUGCAAUUUUACCAUUGUUUUUUGGAGGUGGGAUUUUAUAGUCCAUGUUUGUAAAGCUUUUGGUCAUCCUCUGAGUAUCUUUUGUGUUGGUAGUAUCUAGGGUUUGGUGUUUUUUUCUGCCAGGUGUUCAAUACUUGUUGUUUAAUAGCUGUUUCAAGGUGUUAAUGAGAGGACGAAGACUGAUGUCGUGAGUUCUUUGUCACAGAGUUCUCAGUUUGUUUCUUUUUAGAAUGAGAAUCUGACUGGAGGCUGCAAUUUGCAUUGACUUGAAAAUUUUACUUCAAAGCAAAAUAGAAUAUAGCAUGGUUUUAUUUAUAAUGUCUGUGAGGUGUUUAACAGCUGUAUGAAAUCACUGUUUGAGCUGUUCCUUCUAAACACUGCGUAUUUAAGUUGUCUGCAAUGUAAUUUUGGAAAAGAUUCCUGUCGGCCUCGAUAUAGAUGAAUGCUUGUUUUAUUUUGUCUGCUUCUAGUAGACCAUGUAUAUGAAAAAGGACUGGGUUGUGGUGAGGUGUUGAGAGACUGCUUUGUGUGCAUAGUAAAUGGCUGGAAAGUACAUUCCUGAUGAUAGCGAAAUCUAUAUCCACAUGAGCAAGUUUAGUAGUAGUAGUUCCUGUAACUCCCAGGUGGAGCAUGGGACCUCCUUUCGGAGCUUUCAUAGUCUUCAAAGCAUGCAUUUAAGAGCAGUGAGUGACUAGCCCACUGACUGUACGAUUUCCACUCACCCCUGAUUUGACUGCCAGAGCCAUCUAACAGUGAAGCAGUGAAUCAGGAGAGACUUGGGUGAGAAAUGGCAUCCUCGCAAGGUUCUUUUACUUGUCGUAAAUCUACGACAUGGGACCGCCGGCUUUACUUCCACUCCGAAGGAAGUUGCGCUACGGAUAUUUAUCACCCUUAACCAUAUACUGCUGUUGUGCUGUUCCGGCGGUAGUAUUUUUUAAAUGCCCGUUUAAAUUUUGCUGUAAAAUACGUUUUUUUCCAUAACUUUUG
Molecule: long non-coding RNA, 4472 nt
Organism: Zootermopsis nevadensis
Lineage: Eukaryota; Metazoa; Arthropoda; Insecta; Blattodea; Termopsidae
Source: RefSeq, a predicted model, not a curated record